This is a small nuclear RNA of Vulpes vulpes (red fox), 107 nucleotides long. Its record names the gene U4. It matches the Rfam family "U4 spliceosomal RNA". Rfam says of the family: U4 small nuclear RNA (U4 snRNA) is a component of the major U2-dependent spliceosome. The structure of U4 snRNA from yeast and human has been reported. The record is from Ensembl. NCBI's taxonomy places the organism in Eukaryota, Metazoa, Chordata, Mammalia, Carnivora, Canidae.
AGCUUUGCACAGUGGAAGUAUCAUAGCCAAUGACAUUUAUCGGAGGCCGAUUAUUGCUAAUUGAAACCUUUACAUAGAAGCCCAACUAUAGGACAGCCCCGGGUGGC